RNAcentral lists this long non-coding RNA (534 nucleotides) under Homo sapiens (human). Its description in RNAcentral is "novel transcript". The record is from RNAcentral. Lineage: Eukaryota; Metazoa; Chordata; Mammalia; Primates; Hominidae.
AGUUCACAUAGACCAGGCUUCCUCUUUAGAGGCAUAAGCUGUAAAACAGGAGAGUCUGUUUUAAGAGGAUCUGUUUGAAGUUUAAUGUAACUGAAGUCCAUGCACCUGAAGCCAUUAAUUGAUAUAAGUGAAGUAAGUCUUUGGGUUUCCGGUAGCUCUGACUCAGAUUCUGCUUGCCUCUUCUCCAUGAGAUUACCAAGGCAUCAGGGCAGAGACUCCCUGAGGAUGAGUGGAUCUGGUUCAGAACAUCUGUGAACACAGAGGGAGUGGAAACUUCACUUUCAACAUCAUCAGCCAACUUCCCUCCCAUUACAAUUCUAUCUCAAGAUCAAGGUCAUGCAACAAAACCAGCAGCUUGGAUCUCACUUGUACGUGUGCCUGGAAUGUCCUUCUCACCCCCACUACUAUCUAACUGGUGAUACUUCAAACUUUCUGAAGAUCAGAGUUUCCACUACCCUGCCCCACAAAGGCAAUGGAGUGUGGCCUUUUCACAGUAUAACUAUGGCUGACAACAAAUAAAAAAUAAUGAAAUAA